RNAcentral lists this non-coding RNA (102 nucleotides) under Pandoraea thiooxydans. Its description in RNAcentral is "TPP sequence". It matches the Rfam family "TPP riboswitch aptamer (THI element)". Rfam says of the family: Vitamin B(1) in its active form thiamin pyrophosphate (TPP) is an essential coenzyme that is synthesised by coupling of pyrimidine and thiazole moieties in bacteria. The previously detected thiamin-regulatory element, thi box was extended, resulting in a new, highly conserved RNA secondary structure, the THI element, which is widely distributed in eubacteria and also occurs in some archaea. Lineage: Bacteria; Pseudomonadati; Pseudomonadota; Betaproteobacteria; Burkholderiales; Burkholderiaceae. The record is from Rfam by way of RNAcentral.
CGGGCGAAACAGGGGUGCUUCGCGGCAUGACCGCGAGGCUGAGAGAAACCCUUUGCACCCGACCCGGAUAAUACCGGCGUGGGAAGUUUCCGACUCCUCCAG